GACGAACGCUGGCGGCGUGCUUAACACAUGCAAGUCGAACGGUGAACGAGGGAGCUUGCUCCCUCCGGAUCAGUGGCGAACGGGUGAGUAACACGUGAGCAAUCUGCCCCGAACUCUGGGAUAAGCGUUGGAAACGACGUCUAAUACCGGAUACGACGCGGGAGGGCAUCCUCUCCGCGUGGAAAGAACUUCGGUUCGGGAUGAGCUCGCGGCCUAUCAGCCUGUUGGUGAGGUAACGGCUCACCAAGGCGACGACGGGUAGCCGGCCUGAGAGGGUGACCGGCCACACUGGGACUGGGACACGGCCCAGACUCCUACGGGAGGCAGCAGUGGGGAAUAUUGCACAAUGGGCGCAAGCCUGAUGCAGCAACGCCGCGUGAGGGACGACGGCCUUCGGGUUGUAAACCUCUUUUAGCAGGGAAGAAGCGAAAGUGACGGUACCUGCAGAAAAAGCACCGGCUAACUACGUG
Molecule: ribosomal RNA, 470 nt
Filed under: uncultured bacterium
Lineage: Bacteria
Description: partial 16S ribosomal RNA
Rfam family: Bacterial small subunit ribosomal RNA
Source: RNAcentral